AAAGUUUUAGUAUAAAUAUAUAAGUAUAAUUUAUUGUCAAUAAAUAGGUUAAAACUUUA
Molecule: transfer RNA, 59 nt
Filed under: Chabertia ovina (large-mouth bowel worm)
Lineage: Eukaryota; Metazoa; Nematoda; Chromadorea; Rhabditida; Strongylidae
Description: tRNA-Asp
Source: RNAcentral